GCGUAAGCGACGUCCAUUCCGUUGGCCUCGCCGCUGCGUCCUCUGGGGCAUGUAGUACGUGCCUUCCGCUGAACACGCUCUGCUGUCCCGGCGUUUUCUCCCGGUUUGGGGACUGGAUCGUCAGAAGAUAGAAGCUGCAUGUUGGAAUGAAUGGGAUUUGGAGUUAUAAUGGAAGCAAAAUACGUGAAGGAAAAAUAGUUACCUUUUUAUCAGCAUACUGCACCUGACUACUAGUUGCAAAUGGUUUUCGUUACCUAAGAAAAUUUGUGAUGUAAAUGAAAAAUUACCUUUCUUUUAGACUCAUUGUUUGUAAAUAUGCUUCGCCUAAGAGCUAUUUGUCCGUUCUCCUGGAGAGUGUUUCAAUUUCGAACCUGCAGCUGUAAACCACUAAUUAGCCAGAUGAUUACGUGUACAGAUGAAGAGCAAGUAUUUGAUCUUAUUGAAAAAAACAAAGCCAUACUUUCAGAAAAGCAAGUGGAAUGUGCAUUUAAUAUACUUUGGCAGUUUCAAAAGCAGAAGACCAGCUUUUUGAAAAAUGUUGAAUGUAUCAGAGACCAUCCCCAAUUUCUUACUCUUCAUAAUUUAGCUACAAGUCAAAUGGAAUUCAUGAAUGAUGAUACCCUGGUGAAUGUCUUGUACAUCACACAACAGUGUGCUACUGAGGCCCAUGACCUGGUUGCAGCCCUAGUUACAGAAGCAUGGAGAAGACUGGAAAGGUUUGAUAUUAAUGUGCUGUCAAAAUUUUCCUCUUGCCUAGCAAAUCAGCAUUUAUAUUUCAGUCCAUUAAUGGGAAAAAUAGCUGAUAUUGUACAUAGGAACCUGGAAACCAUAGAGGACUUAAGGUCCCUGUCUGUAUUGAUGGUCAGCAUAUCUUCUUUAAUAUCACAACGUUUUCAAGAACAAUUAGUGAACAAAACAGAACAUCUUUUUGAUACCAUAGAUUCUUCCCAGGUCAACGUUGCAAGAAGAAUAGUACAAUUUCUUCGAAAUACUAAAUAUAGUUAUUAUCCACUCUUAGAAAUGUGCAAUAAAGUGUUUUUAAGCAAUAUGAACCACCUUGAUUUGGACUCCAUCAGUAAAAUACUUAGUCUAUAUCACUUUCUACAGUUUCAUAGUUUUGAAUUUGUUAAAAUGGCUAAAAAGAGGCUAACUGAAAUGAUUCCUCUGUUUGAUCACCCUGAUGGCUUUGUAAAACUGUUUGUAGCAUUGGGACCUAUUGCAGGACCUGAAGAAAAGAAACAACUUAAAUCAACUCUGUUACUGAUGUCAGAGGAGCUAACCAGACAGCAGGCCCUGGCAGUGAUGAGAGCAAUGGAAGAGAUGGAAAGCAGAAAUUCACAUCUGAUUAAAAAAAUUGCUUCAAUUCUGCAUAAACAUUUGGAUAACUAUAAACCAAUAGAGUUAUUGAGGAUAACUCAAGCAUUGAUUUUUCUACAUUUUCAAAGUAAAGAGCUUUUUGUGAAACUGAGAGAAUUACUGCUUAGAUAUUUGAAAAUUAGUGUUAUACCUAGUGAGAUUUCCAUCCUGGUCUAUGCUCUGUCCAUUCUUCCAUCUCCUCACCUAGAUGAAGUGGGGAUAUCUCGAAUUGAAGCCAUUUUACCGCAGUGUGACCUAAAUGACCUGAAUGGUUUUGCUACAUCUGUUUUAAGAUGGAUUCAUUAUGAUCACAAAUAUCUGGAUAAUACCACUGGGAAACAACUGAAACUGCUUCAAAAACUAGAUCACUAUGGUCUUCAGAGACUACGAAAAUACAACAAUUUGAAUCUUUUAAGGGAAGAACUUAAAUCUUUAAAAGGAGACUGGUUUGCUGAGUCACUUCUUGAAGAAACAGCUGGUACUUUACACCGUUUGAUGGAUGAAAUUAAUUACAAAAAUGUUGCAGAGAUUGCAUCUUUUAUUGCUAGAACUAACUACCUCAGUACUUUGCUACUUGAUAGGAUAGCCUCAGUGGUUGUUCAGCAGAUUGAAAAGAUCCACCCUUUUGUGAUCCUUGGUAUUAUUCCUCCAUUUAGCAUCUUGAACUAUGAUCCACCUCAAAAUGAUGAAUUUUUCAGGAUUUGCAUUCAAUACCUGAAUUCUUACUUAAGUGGAUUGGAUCCUUUCAUGUUAGUGUUUCUUGGUUAUUCUUUGGCCAUACUUGGAUAUUUUCCGGAAGAUCUGCUGAAGGCAAUUUUUAACAUCAAAUUCUUAGCCAAAAUGGAUUCUCAACUUGAAUUUUUAUGUUCAUCUCUAAAUAUGAAGGUCCAGUUUCGUCUUAUGGAAUUAAAUAGAGCAGUCUGCUUGGAGUGCCCUGAGUAUCAGAUUCCCUGGUUUCAUGACCGCUUCUGUCAACAACAGUAUAAUAAAGAUAUUGGCAGCAUGAAUGGAGCACAACAGCAGAUUUAUAAAAUGUUAGCAGAGGUGCUGGGAGGAACCAAUUGUGUAAAAGCCUCGGUUCUUACGCCUUAUUACCACAGAAUAGAUUUUGAGUGUAUCUUGGAUAAAAGAAAAAAAGCUCUUCCAUAUGGAAGCCACAAUAUAACUUUGGGAAAACUGCCAGAAAUGCACUGGGAAUCAAAUACCCAAAUAACUGGAUCAAGACUGCCACCAGGAGCUGAAAGGAUUGCUCUGCAAUUUUUGGAUUCAAGAGCUUUUUGUAGAAACAUCCCUCACUUGAAAGGAAAAUCUGCUAUGAAAAAACGACAGUUGGAAAUUUUGGGCUAUCAUGUAAUUCAGAUCCCGCAUUUUGAAUGGAACUCUAUGGCAUUGUCAACAAAGGAAGCUCGGAUGGACUACCUGAGAGAACGUAUAUUUGGAGAAGGCAAAUCAUGAUUGUAGUUUUUAUUUAAAAUUAGUGACGAUGGUGUGUCACAACUGAACUUAUUUUAAUUAAGUGGCCUGACUCAAUGAAAAAAUAAUAGUACAGAAUUGAUUGAUUUGAAGAGAGAAUGAGAGACAGAGAGCAUGAGAGGGAGGAGGGUCAGAGGGAGAAGCAGACUCCCUGCCGAGCAGGGAGCCCGACGCGGGACUCCAUCCCAGGACUCCAGGAUCAUGACCUGAGCCGAAGGCAGUCGCUUAACCAACUGAGCCACCCAGGCGCCCAAGAACCCAUGUUUUAAUUGAAUCACUUGGGCUACUCUGCUGAGAUGGGAAAAGACUGCAGUGAGGCAAGUGUAUAAGCAGGGAAACCCAUUAGAAGAUCAUUGCAAUAAUCCAGACAAAAAAUAGAUGGUUGGUGGGGCGCCUGGCUGGCUCAGUCAGUAGAACAUACAACUCUAUCUCAGGGUCUUGAGUUCAAGCCCCACAUUGGGCAUGGAGCCUACUUAAAAUAAAUAAGUAAAAAAUAGAUGGUUGGCUUAGAGUAGUAGCCGUGGAAGUAAAGAGAAGUGCUCAGAUUUUUUUUAUGUAUUUUGAAGGCAGAGGCAACAAAAUUUGCUCACUGAUUGGAUAUGAAGUAUGAGGGAAAGGAGUCAAGGAUAAUUCUAAGUUUUUGUCCUUAGCAACUAAAAGGAUGUUAUUGCUAUUGACUGAGAUGGGAAAGUCUACGGGAGGAAGAAGUAGGAGGUGCAGUGGGUGGGAGGAUCAUGAGUUUGGUUUUAGACAUGUUGAGUUUUUGAUGCCUUUUUAUUUUUUUUAAAGAUUUUAUUUAUUUGUCAGAGAGAGAGUGUGUAUGUGUGCACAAGCAGGGGGAGUGGCAGGCAGAGGAAGAAGCAGGCUCCUUGCUAAGCAAGGAGCCUGAUGCAGGACUCGAUCCCAGAACCCUGGGAUCAUGACCUGAGCUGAAGGCAGACGCUUAACCGACUGAGCCACCCAGGCGUCCCUGUGAUGCCUUUUAAACAUCUGAAGUGGAGAUAUCAAAUAGGCAUUUUAAUGAGUUUGGAGAAGGCAGAGGUCCAGGGCCAGAUAUAAAUUUGGAAGUUGUCAGCAGUAUUUAAUGUGAUGAAAGUAGAUGAAAUCACUAAAAUGUGAUUAGAGGAGAGUGUGAAUGGAGGAGAAGUCUGAGGACUCAGCUCCAGGUGCCCCAACAUGAGGUCAAGAAGAAGAGAAAUGAGCAAAGGAGGCUGGGCAGGGGUGGCCAGUGAGGUAGGAGGGAAAGUCAUAGGUAGUGAUACUUCCUAGAAGCCAAGUCGAGAAAGCAUUUCAAGGAGGAGGAGGUGAGCAGUUGUAUCAGAUACUGCUGAUGGCUUAGGUAAAGUGAGGACUGGGAAAUGUCCAUUAAAUUUAGCAGCAUGAAGAUCAUUGGUAACCUUGAAAAGAGGAGUUUUGGGAAAGGGGUAUGUGUGAAAGCCUGACUGGUUUAAUAGAAAGUGGGAGGAGACAGGUUUUGUUUUGUUUUGUUUUUUAAAUAAAUGGAAAAAAAGAUAUGGAGUGGGAAAUGGACUGAUCUUGACCUGGUCUGAUCCUACCCAUGAUGGGGGAAUAAUGAUUUUCUCUUGUCUUACAACACAUUUAUUCAAUAAAAUAGUUACUAAGGGUCUACUAUGUGAUAUAAUCCCUAACCUUUCUUCCAAUAGUGAUGUAUUUGUGCUGGGCAGAAAGCCAUGUUGUAACUAUCCUCAGGCCACCUGGUGGGAAUGUAGGUAAUUAGCAUCUGAAACUUGCUGUCUUCUGACUUCAUGACCAUCUAAGUUCAUUUAAGCUGGUAGCCAGAGUGCCUUGAGUCUUUUUUUUUUUUUUAAGAUUUUAUUUAUUUAUUUGAGAGAGAGAGAAUGAGAGACGGAGAGCAGGAGAGGGAAGAGGGUCAGAGGGAGAAGCAGACCCCCUGCUGAGCAGGGAGCCCGAUGUGGGACUCGAUCCCGGGACUCCAGGAUCAUGACCUGAGCCGAAGGCAGUCGCUUAACCAACUGAGCCACCCAGGCACCCUUGAGUCUUAAGCAUAGCUAUAAAACAUGUGUCCUGCAUAGAUUUUGGUCUGUUGAUAUUUGAUUUAGGUGUAGUUGAAGUACUUGUUCAAAAUAUUGUUACUUCGUGGAAUGCCUGCAUUGCUCAUUUGGUUAAGUGUCUGCCUUCGGCUCAGGUCAUGAUCCCAGGGUCCUGGGAUUGAGCCCCGCAUCGGGCUCCCUGCUCAGUUGGGAGCCUGCUUCUCCCUCUGCCUGCCAGUCCCCCUGCUUGUGAGCACUCUCGCUCUCUCUCUCAAAUAAAUAAAAUCUUAAAAACAAAAAAAAUCAUUACUUUGCAUGAUGUGAAACCCAAUACAUAAUCGUUUUGCAACAUGUAAACUUCACAGAACCUUUUGUGAAAAACAGGAUCAAAACAGUAAGCAAAUGAAAGAUGUCUCCCCUAACCAUUCUCCCUCAUUUUGGAUUUCCUUAUGAUAUUCAUUUGUAUUAGCUGAAAUGCUAAAUUCUAAGUGUUUGUCUUCUAUAUUCAUGAAUGUGUUCUCUUUCCCAAGCAAAUUAUGAGAAAUAAACCCUGAAUAGGUUAAAAUAUUUUACUCAGCAACUUUUAGAAUAAAAUGAUUAGACUGAUGAGGAUUAUAAAUUGUUUCUUUUGGAUAUAAAUGAAAACCCAGUUAUAGUAUACUUUGAAUACAUGGAAAUCUUGAUUAAAUGACCCUGUUGUACCUUUCACUUACUGUUACACAUACUCUGAUGUCUCAUGUACCACAUCUCUUACUGGUCUUCCUCUAGGCUGCCUGAUUCAAAUGGUUUUCUUUAUAUAUAUACUCUUAUAUUUUGUGUUUGAUGGUUUUCCUGUUUACAUAACUGGAGUUGUUAAAAGCAUUUUUUUAAAGCAUUCUUUUUUUCAUUGAAAUAUAAUUAACAUACCAUAAAAU
Mirounga angustirostris (Northern elephant seal) is the source of this 5755-nucleotide RNA transcript. It is a transcript of the gene named FAST kinase domains 1, with no coding region annotated. The transcript has 16 exons. The record is from RefSeq and is a predicted model, not a curated record. NCBI's taxonomy places the organism in Eukaryota, Metazoa, Chordata, Mammalia, Carnivora, Phocidae.